This 253-nucleotide ribosomal RNA is filed under the name uncultured bacterium. Its description in RNAcentral is "partial 16S ribosomal RNA". It matches the Rfam family "Archaeal small subunit ribosomal RNA", at positions 474 to 727 of the family's 1478-position model. The record is from RNAcentral.
UACCAGCACCCCGAGUGGUCGGGGCGAUUAUUGGGCCUAAAGCAUCCGUAGCCGGUCCCACAAGUCCUCCGUUAAAUCCAACUGCUUAACAGAUGGGCCGCGGAGGAUACUAUGGGGCUAGGAGGCAGGAGAGGCAAGCGGUACUCAGUGGGUAGGGGUAAAAUCCGUUGAUCCACUGAAGACCACCAGUGGCGAAGGCGGCUUGCCAGAAUGCGCUCGACGGUGAGGGAUGAAAGCUGGGGGAGCAAACCGG